AUUGAAUUACAACUUACCCUAUAGUAACUGUUUGAACUAGCCUAUCACUCUGGUCAGAAUUGGCGCACAAGUUUGGCGAGCAAAAGGCGAGGUUUACGUUCUUUGGCGGUUAGGGGUUCUGCAUUCCUAAAUGAGCCAGUUUCCAGUAAGGGUGUGCUCAGCGGUUUGACUAGGGUGGGGGAGUGUCUUAAGCAAUAAGUAGGUCAUGUGGGGGUUAUACAUGAGAUGGUGGGUAUAGCCCAAAAUGGAGUUAGUCUUGCUCUGCUUGUCCAGGGGUAGGGGAUUUUUGUUAAAUUCCUUGGGUCCCACAGUACUGCCGCUGGGUCCCGAGAGGUGAUGUCUGUAAAGGCAAAGGCUUGGCACAGGCCUGAAACUGGAGGGAACUGUGGUUUUCACCUUUGUUGCCUUUAACAGCUGUGCAACUUUUAAGGCACCAGACUGGGAAGACACAAGCCCCAGGGAGGUGAUGACGCUGAUAUCCACCAGUGCUCAGCACGUAGCUUCCUCUUGUCCUCAGCACAGUUCUGGACACAGGCAUGGACACUCCCAGUUUACCGAAGGAAACCAGCCCAGUGUCACACAGGUGGAAGCUGGGACUGAAAGAAUGGGAGCAGGUGGAAGGGGAGAAGCAGCUCUCAGCUGCAGAAGAGAAAUGAAAUUAGCUGCAGAAGAGCUACGGAACUACAAACUAUGUGGAAAUGUGGUUCCUGAACAUGUUUCUGGAGGUUCUGGAAUGGUUACAAACCUCAGGAAGCAGUUUGGUGGAGGACAAAUCACAUCGACAAGUAGGACCAUCCCAUUUUAGAGACCCACUUGUAACCAUGAGAAAUAUGACAAGGAUACACGGAAAAGAAGAUUUGAACUUUAUGAUGAAAGACCCUCAUUGCAGGAUUAGGGAGCUGUCGCCACAGGUAAGGAGACUGUGUCAACGUGGACCCCACAGGCAUUAAAUAAUAAAUCCAAGAUGAUGUAGUGAUGGCUUUGAGCU
RNAcentral lists this long non-coding RNA (988 nucleotides) under Felis catus (domestic cat). RNAcentral describes it as "lncRNA (ENSFCAG00000052937.1)". The record is from RNAcentral. Lineage: Eukaryota; Metazoa; Chordata; Mammalia; Carnivora; Felidae.